Molecule: ribosomal RNA, 301 nt
Filed under: uncultured bacterium
Lineage: Bacteria
Description: partial 16S ribosomal RNA
Rfam family: Bacterial small subunit ribosomal RNA
Source: RNAcentral
CAGUAGCCGCGGGAACACGUAGGGUGCGAGCGUUAAUCGGAAUUACUGGGCGUAAAGCGUGUGCAGGCGGUUAUAUAAGACAGAUGUGAAAUCCCCGGGCUCAACCUGGGACCUGCAUUUGUGACUGUAUAGCUAGAGUACGGUAGAGGGGGAUGGAAUUCCGCGUGUAGCAGUGAAAUGCGUAGAUAUGCGGAGGAACACCGAUGGCGAAGGCAAUCCCCUGGACCUGUACUGACGCUCAUGCACGAAAGCGUGGGGAGCAAACAGGAUUAGAUACCCCAGUAGUCCCUGUCUCUUAUAC